AGAGUUUGAUCCUGGCUCAGAACGAACGUUGGCGGCGUGGAUUAGGCAUGCAAGUCGAACGAAUCCCAGAGGGCUUGCUUUCUGGGGGAAGUGGCGAAAGGGGCAGUAAGGCGUGGGUAACCUACCUCGGGGACGGGGAUAGCCUUUCUAACGAAAGGGUAAUACCUGGCGAUUUGACGGGGCGGCAUCGUCCUGUCAGGAAAUGAGUUUCGCCUCGAGAGGGGCUCACGUAGUAUUAGCUUGUUGGUGAGGUAACGGCUCACCAAGGCCAAGAUGCUUAGCGGGUGUGAGAGCACGACCCGCGCCACUGGCACUGAGACACUGGCCAGACUCCUACGGGAGGCUGCAGUCGAGGAUCUUCGGCAAUGGGCGCAAGCCUGACCGAGCGACGCCGCGUGUGCGAUGAAGGCCUUCGGGUUGUAAAGCACUGUCGAGAGAAAGAAAGCCGCAAGGUUGAUCGAUCUCUGGAGGAAGCACGGGCUAAGUUCGUGCCAGCAGCCGCGGUAAGACGAAC
Molecule: ribosomal RNA, 514 nt
Filed under: uncultured bacterium
Lineage: Bacteria
Description: bacterial SSU rRNA
Rfam family: Bacterial small subunit ribosomal RNA
Source: RNAcentral